CCCCACUCUCCUCUCCAUUCUUACGUACUUGGCACCUUCCUUCUCCUCCUCUCGCUUCCUCUCUCCGCUGAUCACCAGCACAUUGCCGUCCUCCACCUGAACCUUGAUGUCGCCGGACCUCAGCCCCGGCAUGUCGACGAUGAAGGUGUAGGAAUUCGGGUACUCCUUGACGUCAGCCAGCGUCGCCGCCAUGGCCUUGGCAUCCCGGACGUAGGUGCAAGUGGCUUAAGGUUGAGGGAUUCAAAGACCUUGUUCGAACUUGUGGCAGGGGAUCAAAGUCAGUGGCAGUGCUAGUUAUAGAUUAGCUGCUAAAAUGAAGGAAGUAAAAAAGAAGCUGAAAGUAUGGAACAAAGAGGUUUUUGGGAGGCUGGAAUGCAACAAAUCUUCAGCCCUACAACAAGUAGAUUUCUGGAAUCGGGUGGAAAGCGAGAGAAACUUGACUGUGGAGGAAACUAAAUUAAAAAAGAAGCAAAAGAAACCUAUAAAAAGUGGGUUCUGUUGGAGGAAGCUCAUUGGAGAUAGCUUUCAAGGGAGAUUUGGCUAAGGGAGGGGAAUAGAAACACGGGUUUCUUCCAUCGAAUGACAAGUAUUCAUCGUAGAAACAAUGCUUUUGACAGAAUUAAGGUUAAUGGGGAGUGGCUGUCAGAGGAGCAGGAGGUGAGGGAAGAAAUUGUUAACACAUUUCAGUAGAUGCUCUCUAAAGAUAUGGAAUGAAAGGCGAAUAUUGGAAGAAUUCAUAUUGAUCACAUCAUCCGGCAAGAAGCAGAGAGUUUGGAGGUCCCAUUUACAGAGAUUGAGAUUUAUACGGCGUUGAUGGAGAUGAAUGGGGAUAAAGCCCCUGGUCUGGAUGGCUUUACUGUAGCUUUCUGGCAAAACGCUUGGGAUUUUACCAAAGAGGAGAUUCUGGAUAUGUUUAAAAAAUUUCAUGAACAUAACUCUUUUGUUAGAAGUCUCAACAAUACUUUUUUGGUAUUGAUCCCUAAGAAAAGUGGGGUUGAGGAUCUUGGAGACUUUAGACCUAUCAGUCUCUUAGGGGGCCUUUAUAAACUUUUGGCUAAAGUUCUAGCUAAUAGGCUAAAAAAAGUGAUUAGUAAGGUGGUCUCCAUUGCCCAGAAUGCCUUUGUAACAGGAAGACAAAUUCUUGAUGCGUCAUUAAUUGCUAGUGAGGUGAUAGAUUCAUGGCAGAAGAGAAAAGAGAAGGGCCUUAUAUGCAAAUUGGAUAUAGAAAAAGCUUAUGACAACAUCAAUUGGAAAUUCUUAAUGAAGGUCUUACAAAAAAUGGGUUUUGGGGCUAAGUGGGUGGGAUGGAUGUGGAGUUGCGUGUCCUCUACCAAAUUCUUAGCUCUUGUUAAUAGAGUACCAACUGGUUUUUUCCCUAGCACUAAAGGGCUUAGACAAAGAGAUCUUCUAUCCCCUUAUCUUUUUUGUAAGGAAUUUGAGGCUAAUCCAAACUAUGCUAAUCACCCUAGAGAGGGGGGGUAAAUAGGGUGAUGGUCUCUUUUUCACAAAUUUAAACUAUGCAAAAAUAAGAGAUAAUUAUAUGCAAAUAUAUAAUAAACAAAAUAAACACAAUUACAUAUAAUUUAAAAGAGUUAGGGAAGAGAGAGUGCAAACAUGAGAGUUUAUAGUGGUUCGGCACUUCCUUGCCUACGUCCACUCUCCUCAACCUUUUAACCGAGUGAGGGUUCCACUAUCUUGAAGUUUCAACCAAACUUCCAAUCUCUUUACAAUUGGAUUAUGGUUCUAAUUCACCCUCUUAGACUUUUGGCUCCAAGCACCUUUUACACUUCUUAAGAGUUAUCCCACUCUUGAACAACCUCUCAAGUGAUACCCCUCACUUGAGAAAAUUCAUCUAAAAAAUAUACAAAGAUUGAUCUCACAAAGAUCCUAGUAAUAGAACUUUAGGCUCAAAAAUACAAGAAAAACUAGGAUUGAAUGGUACACUAAAGAUAUGCAAGUUAUGAAACAAUGGUGCACUCAAAAACACUCUUCCAAGGCUCAAAUAUAAUCAAGAAUGAUUUGGGAAGGUUAAGCUUAUGAAACAAUGAAGAUUGAAGCCUUUUUAUAGAAGAAAAAAGUCAAACUAGCCGUUGGGGGUUCGACCGGUCGAGCUAGGUGUCGACUGGUUGACUAGCCGUUAGGGAAAGUGACCGUUGGGCCUCAACCGGACCUCAACCGGUCCUCAAUUGGACCUCAACCGAACCUCAACCGAACCUCAACCGAUUGAGGUUCAACCUUGACUGGGAAGAGAAUGCCACUGGGAGAGAGAGAAACUUUUUGGCCUCCCUCAACCGGUCCUCGACCGGACGAGCACAACCGGUCGACCGGUUGAACCAGUUGAGCCAUUUUUUUGGCUCAACACUCAACCCUUUUCAACUUAAAACCUUUUAACACAAGUUUGAAAAUCAUUUAACAGAAGGUUUUAGUUGAAAACAUGAAAUCAUCCAAUUCUUAAGAUAUUUAAAACAAUAUUACUUUUGGAUGAUUUUGGUUCAUAAAUAAAUAAUGAAAUGCAUGAAAGUCCUAGUGCACCAACAACCUUACAAAGAGAUCUUAAGAAGCUUUGGUCUUGAAAAAAACUCUUCUCUUUGAGGUGGUCUUCUUCUACAUGAUUUCUCCUUGGCUUGAUUUGUCUUUGGAUUACCACUUUGGAAGUCGUCUUGCCUAAUCACACUUAAAAUGUAGUCAUUAGUUUUAAACCUUGUUUUGUUAUCAUCAAAAUCAAGAUUAACCAAACCUUGGUUUCACAUCUUUGUUAUGGGAAUGGAAGUGUUGGACGUCCUCAUCAGGAGAGCUGUGGAGGGGGGAUACUUAUCAGGAUGCAUAAUUCGGGGUGGUAGUAGACCCUCUUUGAACAUCUCCCACCUAUUUUUUGCUGAUGACACAAUAGUGUUUUGUGAGGUAAGUAAAGAGCAAUUAUCUUACCUAAGUUGGAUUCUUCUUUGGUUUGAAGCAGCUUCAGGCCUUAGAAUUAAUUUAGCCAAAAGCGAAAUCAUCCCAGUUGGAGAAGUGGAGGAGAUUCAUGAGCUGGCAGUUGAGUUAGGGUGUAGGGUGGGAUCCUUGCCCUUUCAAUAUUUGGGACUCCCUCUAGUGGUUCCUAAUAGGGCUACUUCUAUGUGGGAUGGAGUGGAAGAGAGAGUUAGGAGGAGACUUGCGCUUUGCAAAAGGCAGUACAUUUCCAAAGGGGGGAGGAUCACUCUUAUAAAAAGCACCUUGGCUAGCAUGCCAAUAUACCAAAUGUUUAUUUUUCGAAUGCCCAAGUCUGUUGCUAAAAGAGUAGAGAAAGUUCAAAGGACUUCCUAUGGGGGGAGGACACUUAGAGGGGAAAAUUCAUCUAGUUAAAUGGAAUGUGGUUUGCACAGAAAAAAACAAGGGUGGGCUAGGCUUAAGGAAAAUAGCCAUGCUAAACAGAGCCUUGCUUGGUAAGUGGAUUUGGAGGUUUGCUUGUGAAAAAGAUUAUCUUUGGAAGCAAGUGAUCACAACGAAGUAUGGGUAAGAGGAUCAUGGAUGAAGGUCAAAGAAGUCUAAUGAGGCGGUUGGAGUAGGGGUGUGGAAGGAGAUUUUGAAAGAAUCUGAUUGGUGCUGGGAUAAUCUAGUGUUUCUAGUUGGGAAGGGCUCCAAAAUCAAAUUUUGGAAAGAUACUUGGUGCACUGACACACCGCUGUCCCAUUAUAUCACUUACCUCUUUGUUCUGGUCGCGCAUAGGGACGCAACAAUUGAGGAGAUGUGAGACCAAAAUUCUGGUCAAGGAGGCUGGAACCUAAUUUUUUUUAGAGACUUUAAUGAUUGGGAGUUGGAUAUGGUUGGGAAUUUGCUUCAUAUCUUGAGGGGUCAUAGGCCUUCUUUGGAGGAAGAUUCAAUUAUGUGGAGGCGAGGAAGAAAUGGUCUCUUUAGGGUCAAGGAAGCUUAUAGGCUGCUGGACAACCCUAAUGACAUAGUUUUUCCUUCAAGGAGCAUCUGGGUGGAUGAGGUGCCAACUAAAGUUGCUUUUUUCGCUUAGGAGGCGACGUGGGGGAAGGUGCUCACUCUGGAUAGGCUCCAGAUAAGAGGAGUGCAACUCCCUAAUUAUUGUUUUUUGUGUGGUUGUGAAGAAGAAAAUGUAAAUCAUAUUCUUAUACACUAUAUAGUGGCUAGAGCUAUGUGGGAUAUUAUUCUUGGGUUAGUAGAUGUUAAAUGGGUCUUCCCAAAAACUGUAAAGGAGGUCUUAACUACCUGGAGGGGCCCAUUUGUAGGGAAGAAAAAGAAAAAUGUUUGGAAAUUCAUACUGUUGUGUAUCUUUUGGACGGUUUGGAAUGAGAGGAAUAUGUUAGCUUUUAGGGGGGGGUGUUGAAUAUCCAGAAAUUAAAGAAUUUUUUUGUUUGUAACUUAUGGAGCUAGGCCAAAGUGUAUUUAGGCGAGGAGUCUCUCUCCCUUAUAGACUUUUUGGAGUGGGUAGCAUCCACUUAAAGGGAGGUAGUCCUUUUUUAGGCUUUAACUGCCUUGUAUACUCUGUGGCUUUUAACAUUUUUCUAAUGCAUAUCUUGUUUUCUUAUAAAAAAAAAAAAAUCAUUUUGUUUUGGGGAAUAUGAAACCAUUAAAGGUCAAUGCAUCCUACGAUUUUCAUAAUAUUUUUAAAAUUCUUUUAAUGUGAAUUCAUCUCUUCUAUUAGAUUUCUUUGGUUAUUAUGAUCACUUUCCUUUUCAAUAAGUGUUUUAAAUUUAUUAAAAGCACAAAAUACUUCAAUUUUUUCCUUUAAAAAAUACAUCCAAAAUUUUAUACUAAAAUCAUGAAUGAAAAACAAAAAAUAUUUAUUCUUACAAAAAAAAAAGUUUGAAUGAAUCGGAUCACAUACAUCCGAAUAAAUAAGUUUUAGAGACUUUUUAUUCUUAUACAUGCUUCUUUUGAAAAUUAUUUUUACAGCAUGUUUCUCAAAUAAGCAUCCUUCACAUUAUUCAUUCAUUUUUGGAAAGCAAUUCUCAUAUUUUUUUUGUUCUAACAAUUUUAAUUUAUCAAAAUUAAGAUAUUCAAAUCUUAAAUGUCAAAUCCAAAAGGAAUCAUUGACAUGAGAUUUUAGACAUUUUACAAUAUCAUUUUAUAUAUUUAAAAAAUAACAUUGCAUUUCUUGUCAUAGACAUAUUUACAUGCUAUCUCUUAUUAAAAGACUUUGAUUUUUCAUAUAAAUAUCAGUCUUUUUUUAAAAACUAGCCCAAACUUAAUAUAUUAUUUGUCAUGUUGGGUACAUAACAAAUAAUGUUCAAGAUAAAUCGAUGCAUUCCAUUCUUAUUUUACCUUUGCCUAGAUAUAUAAUAAUUCUUUCCCCACAAAAUGGACUUAACUUUGAACAGUUCCAAAGAUGGGUGAGCCCCAAAAAAAUGGCUAUUUGGACAAACUCUAAGGGUUGUUUGGGCUUGUCCAUUAAUUUGGGACAUGAAACCCACUAAAGGCUAAAGCCAGAAGCAGACUAGUCUUAUCCAAGAAGGUAGAACAUAAAAGUAUAUUACACACAAACGUUAUGGUAAUAGUUAAAAUAAAACUUUUGUUCAAUCACUCUUAAAUCUUACAAAAACCUUAUAAUUUCAGGGUAAUACUUCUUAGGAAGAUCAGUUUUCCCAUCUUCUCUACGCAUACAAUGAAGCUUCCAACCUGAAGAGAGAUACACCAAAGAAGAAGAAAAACAGAGCAGAAAGGCUUUCAUUCAUACUCAAAACUACAAUAUUUAUAAAGAAAUCAUCAGCUUCUAUGUAGAAGCCAAUGACCCAAUAUCAUACCCAGACCAAAUUCACAGAAAUCCCAAUUAGAUCAGCUUAUCUGCAAUUACCCACUCAGAAUCACGGAGAUUUAAGCGAUCUUGACCUCAAUGGUCUUGGGCUUCUUGGGCUCCGGCGGUGGUAGCUUCUCAACGGUGACGGUCAGUACUCCAUCUUGACAAACCGCGGAGAUCUUAUCAGUAUUCGCAUUCUCCGGCAACGCAAACUUCCUCAUAAACUUGCCUACCCUCCUCUCCAUUCUCACGUACUUGACGCCUUCCUUCUCUUCCUCGCGCUUCCUCUCUCCGCUGAUCACCAGCACAUUGUCGUCCUCCACCUGAACCUUGAUGUCGCCGGACUUCAGCCCCGGCAUGUCGACGAUGAAGGUGUAGGAAUUCGGGUACUCCUUGACGUCAGCAGGCGUCGCCGCCAUGGCCUUGGCGUCGCGGACGUAGGUGCGAGUGGGGGCGCUGACGGACUUGUCGGAGUCAUCGGUGGCGUCUAGCAUGUGUUGGAGGGCAGAGAAGAGUGGAGAAUCGAAGCCCAUCAUCCUCGAAUCCAUGUUGGGUGUCAGAGAUUUGUUGGUGUGAGAUUGUGAACAACUGCAAUUGCGAAUGUAGAAGUGCUUGAAUGUUGGAAGAAAUCGGAGGCAGUGAUGUGGAUUUUAUAGAAGACGAGUUGGGAAACAGAGGAAGGUUCUGGAAAGAACAAGAAGAGGAGAAUUGGGGGUUUGUCUUUGUUGGCUCUGCUCCAACGGUUCCAGAACCAGAAGUUUGUGGAAGUUUCUCCUAAAUGACUAAAGUACCCCUUAUUUGUUCAUAAAAAAUUACCUUUUGAAAGAAGUUCCAUUUCUACUUACACAGUAGUUCACAAAUCUUUUAUCAUAUUAUUAUCAACAAGCUAUGGUUUUGAUCAAUGCUUGGUGUAAAUUUUUAUUUUGAUUUUAGAAGAAAAAAAAAGACAUAAUUUUAAAAGGUAUUAUUAUAGUAAAAGUUAAAAUAAAUUUUUUAAAUAAAAUCAUUUUUUAGGAAAUGUUUAAAAAACCAACUUAAUAAUUUAAAGUGAAUUAAUAAUUUAAUUUAAGUUAUUAAGUAAAUUAAGUAUGUUUGGUAAAAUAACUUAAUGAUAUCACUAAAAAUAAAAAUAAAAAUUAAUUUUUAAAUAAAAAUAAUUAACUUAUUCUUAAAUCUAUAUUUUUAUUUUUAUUUACCAUCAUUUAUCCGAAUUAUUCUCAUAAUCUAUUUUACUACUUCAUGAUUUCCAUUGUUACUUAAACUACUUUGUCCUCAUUAUAAUUUAUGAAAAUAAUCAUAUCAAUUUGAUGAUUUACAAUAAAUUUUCAGUUAAUUUUAUUAAACAACCUUAAUAUUUGAAAUGAGAAUUAAGUAAUAAGUUUUAAGACUAAUAAUUUAAGUAUAAUUUAACUUAAAAUCAACUUAAAUAAUUAAAUAAUAAGUAAUAAGUUUUACCAAAUAUCAUUUUAAUAUUGUUCUUAUAAUAAAGUUAGUUAAAUAAAUAUAAGAAUUUUUAUUAAUCAUAUAAUAGAGUUUUUGAACUUAGAUUCACUUCAAUCCAACUUGUGUUUUAUCUUUUAAAAUUUAAAAGUUAAACAUAUCUAAGCAUCAACAAUUUAAAAAAAUUUGCUCUUUAUUUCUAAAUCGUACAUUAAUAAUAAUAGACUAAUCAAUUAUGAGUAUGGAUAAUUUGCCCCUUAUAAAUUGUUGGUUUAAGGGUAUGAAAAAAAGGACUAGUCCAAAGCACACAAAUAAAUAACGUAAUGAAUAGUAAGAAAAAUUUAUAGGUUGAGGUGUAACAAACAUUGUCCUUAAAAUAGAUCAACUCUCCUCGAAGACGAACUUGGUACACUUAGGUACUAGUGGUCCACCUUCAGGAUUCAAUAGUCAUUGAGUGCACUUUGUAAGCGAGACGUGUACAACUCAGGUUCAUGAAAAAUUCGUAUUCAUAUUUAGAGAGUGAUGAGUGAUAUGCUUUUAUGACUAAUAAAAUAAGAUAAAAAAAAAAAAGUAGCAUAGAUCAUCGCACACGUACGCAAAGGGCCUUCCACGCAAGAUGCAUGUGGGGAUCGAAGCCCCACUCAAAUGGGUUUGGCCCCAAUGGGCGCGCAAGACUCACCCACACCUCUUCACAAGCCCAUUGGGCUAAGGAAGGUUAAUAAACCCAUUAAAGAUGUUCAUCUCUUUCCUAUGUCGACAAGCAAAAAAUACUUUUCACAUUUACACUCUUCCUGCUAUGCAAGUCAAGUUGGGUACAUUUUGUUUGGAUUGAACAAGGUGUAGAAGGAUUAAAUAGAAGUACAUCAUUGAUGAUAAUAUUGCUUAAAUUUAUUUAAAGUCUUUAAUAACUUUUCAGCUUUGUAACUUCAUUAUUCUAAUACCAGUCAUUACAUUUGAUCAUUUUCAAAGAGAACAACUCUUCCCUGAGACAAAUAUGGUGUCACUCUCCCAAUCUAAAUUACAAAUUUAGAUUAUCAAAUUCCCUACCCAAAAUCUAAUCUUCCCAAUUUAAAAAAGACUUGUAGUGAAGUUGUCAACCAGAGGAAAUACCACACCUUACUAUGGCUUUUUAAUUGCCGUUAAAUCUUAAAAAUUUUCCAGGAAAAAUGAAAACGAGGCAAGGAAGAGAAAAGGCAGACUUCAUUGACGGUACUGAAAAAUCAAAACUACACAUUAUACUGUAAUGAAGAGAUCAGUAUCUUCAUCACCCCAAGCCAUUGACCCAAGAUCAAACCCAAACAAAGGCCCCUGUGGCAUUAUUUACUAUUAAAAACCCAGAAAAACCCUCCCAAAACCCCCUACAUUUCAAGCAAUUUUGACCUCAAUGGUCUUGGGCUUCUUGGGCUCCGGCGGUGGCAGCUUCUCAACGGUGACGGUCAACACCCCAUCUUGACAUACAGCAGAGAUCUUAUCAGUAUUCGCAUUCUCCGGCAACACGAACUUCCUCAUAAACUUCCCCACUCUCCUCUCCAUUCUUACGUACUUGGCACCUUCCUUCUCCUCCUCCCGCUUCCUCUCUCCGCUGAUCACCAGCACAUUGCCGUCCUCCACCUGAACCUUGAUGUCGCCGGACCUCAGCCCCGGCAUGUCGACGAUGAAGGUGUAGGAAUUCGGGUACUCCUUGACGUCAGCCGGCGUCGCCGCCAUGGCCUUGGCGUCCCGGACGUAGGUGCGGGUGGGAGCGUUGAGAGACUUGUCGGAAUCGUCGCCGGCGUCGAGCAUGUGUUGGAGGGUUGAGAAGAGUGGAGAAUCAAAACCCAUGACCCUCAAAUCCAUUUUGCUUUUCAGCGAUUAGUCUCUGAGAUCUGCUAAGAUUUGU
This 9059-nucleotide long non-coding RNA is filed under the name Vitis vinifera (wine grape). RNAcentral describes it as "long non-coding RNA (VVIN_LNC000910)". Lineage: Eukaryota; Viridiplantae; Streptophyta; Magnoliopsida; Vitales; Vitaceae. The record is from RNAcentral.